GAUGAAGAACGUAGCGAAAUGCGAUAAGUAAUGUGAACUGCAGAAUUCAGUGAAUCAUCGAGUCUUUGAACGCACAUUGCGCCCCCUGGUAUUCCGGGGGGCAGGCCUGUCCGAGCGUCAUUGCUGCCCUCAAGCACGGCUUGUGUGUUGGGCCGCCGUCCCCGGUUUCCCCCGGGGACGGGCCCGAAAGGCAGCGGCGGCACCGCGUCCGAUCCUCGAGCGUAUGGGGCUUUGUCACCCGCUCUGUAGGCCCGGCCGGCGCCAGCCGACACCCAACUUUAUUUCUAAGGUUGACCUCGGAUCAGGUAGGGAUACCCGCUGAACUUAAGCAUAUCAAUAAGCGGAGGA
RNAcentral lists this unclassified non-coding RNA (348 nucleotides) under soil metagenome. RNAcentral's name for it is "partial contains 5.8S ribosomal RNA, internal transcribed spacer 2, and large subunit ribosomal RNA". The stretch from base 1 to 120 matches the Rfam family "5.8S ribosomal RNA", at positions 35 to 154 of the family's 154-position model. The record is from RNAcentral.